Molecule: Y RNA, 108 nt
Filed under: Echinops telfairi (small Madagascar hedgehog)
Lineage: Eukaryota; Metazoa; Chordata; Mammalia; Afrosoricida; Tenrecidae
Description: Y RNA (ENSETEG00000021961.1)
Rfam family: Y RNA
About the family: Y RNAs are components of the Ro ribonucleoprotein particle (Ro RNP), in association with Ro60 and La proteins. The Y RNAs and Ro60 and La proteins are well conserved, but the function of the Ro RNP is not known.
Source: RNAcentral
GGCUGGUCCGAAGGUAGUGAGAUCUCACAACGAUUGCUUACAGUCAAUUACUGGUCGACCUUUUUGUCUCCCCCCCCCCCCCCCACUACUGCACUUGACUAGUCUUAA